RNAcentral lists this ribosomal RNA (1068 nucleotides) under Micrococcus terreus. RNAcentral's name for it is "bacterial SSU rRNA". It matches the Rfam family "Bacterial small subunit ribosomal RNA", at positions 255 to 1331 of the family's 1533-position model. The record is from RNAcentral. Lineage: Bacteria; Bacillati; Actinomycetota; Actinomycetes; Micrococcales; Micrococcaceae.
AGGUAAUGGCUCACCAGCGACGACGGGGUAGCCGCUGAAGAGGGGUGACCGCACCACUGGGACUGAGAACACGGCCCCAGACUCUACGGGAGGGCAGCAGUGGGGAAUAUUGCACAAUUGGGCGCAAGCUGAUGCAGCGACGCCGCAUGAGGGAUGACGGGCUUCGGGUUGUAAACCUCUUUCAGUAGGGAAGAAGCGAAAGUGACGGUACCUGCAGAAGAAGCGCCGGGCUAACUACGUGCCAGCAGCCGCGGUAAUACGUAGGGCGCGAGCGUUAUCCGGAAUUAUUGGGCGUAAAGAGCGCGUAGGCGGUUUGUCGCGUCUGCCGUGAAAGUCCGGGGCUUAACCCCGGAUCUGCGGUGGGUACGGGCAGACUAGAGUGCAGUAGGGGAGACUGGAAUUCCUGGUGUAGCGGUGAAAUGCGCAGAUAUCAGGAGGAACACCGAUGGCGAAGGCAGGUCUCUGGGCUGUAACUGACGCUGAGGAGCGAAAGCAUGGGGAGCGAACAGGAUUAGAUACCCUGGUAGUCCAUGCCGUAAACGUUGGGCACUAGGUGUGGGGGACAUUUCCACGUUUUCCGCGCCGUAGCUAACGCAUUAAGUGCCCCGCCUGGGGAGUACGGCCGCAAGGCUAAAACUCAAAGGAAUUGACGGGGGCCCGCACAAGCGGCGGAGCAUGCGGAUUAAUUCGAUGCAACGCGAAGAACCUUACCAAGGCUUGACAUGUUCCUGACCGCCGUAGAGAUACGGUUUCCCCUUUGGGGCAGGUUCACAGGUGGUGCAUGGUUGUCGUCAGCUCGUGUCGUGAGAUGUUGGGUUAAGUCCCGCAACGAGCGCAACCCUCGUUCCAUGUUGCCAGCACGUAGUGGUGGGGACUCAUGGGAGACUGCCGGGGUCAACUCGGAGGAAGGUGGGGACGACGUCAAAUCAUCAUGCCCCUUAUGUCUUGGGCUUCACGCAUGCUACAAUGGCCGGUACAAUGGGUUGCGAUACUGUGAGGUGGAGCUAAUCCCAAAAAGCCGGUCUCAGUUCGGAUUGGGGUCUGCAACUCGACCCCAUGAAGUCGGAG